RNAcentral lists this ribosomal RNA (301 nucleotides) under uncultured bacterium. Its description in RNAcentral is "partial 16S ribosomal RNA". It matches the Rfam family "Bacterial small subunit ribosomal RNA", at positions 509 to 807 of the family's 1533-position model. The record is from RNAcentral.
CAGCCGCCACGGUAAAACGUAGGGUGCAAGCGUUAAUCGGAAUUACUGGGCGUAAAGCGUGCGCAGGCGGUUAUAUAAGACAGAUGUGAAAUCCCCGGGCUCAACCUGGGAACUGCAUUUGUGACUGUAUAGCUAGAGUACGGCAGAGGGGGAUGGAAUUCCGCGUGUAGCAGUGAAAUGCGUAGAUAUGCGGAGGAACACCGAUGGCGAAGGCAAUCCCCUGGGCCUGUACUGACGCUCAUGCACGAAAGCGUGGGGAGCAAACAGGAUUAGAUACCCCAGUAGUCCCUGUCUCUUAUAC